Long non-coding RNA from Hirundo rustica (Barn swallow), 1378 nucleotides. RefSeq lists it as uncharacterized. The transcript has 4 exons. NCBI's taxonomy places the organism in Eukaryota, Metazoa, Chordata, Aves, Passeriformes, Hirundinidae. The record is from RefSeq and is a predicted model, not a curated record.
CUGUUUGUGUGCUGACGUGAUGUGCUGUAAGUACCAUGGGAGAGAGGGCUCUGCAACAGCUGGAGGUGGAGCUGCCCCAUCUCUGUGUAAUGGAGAUGUGGCAAAAGCUUUCUGCCCCCAAAACCAGUGCUUUGCCACAAUCAAGCCUUCCAGAAGAUCUUGGAGCAUUAGCAGCCAGGGAAUGUUUUUUGAAGUCUCGUGUUCUGAGUUCAUUAUACCUCUCCAGUAACUGUGUGGGACGCCAGCUGCAACACAUCCACUGCCACUGCCGGUUUGAGAAGUCUACAUUAUCAGCUGGCUCUGGUGGGACUUAAGGGGUUCACCAGGUAGCUGCCAUGAAUUCAAACCCCUCUGUGCCCUGCUGCCCUGCCUAUGGUCAAAGCGUGACUGCCUCAAAAGGUGGCGUGGGCAAGGAUCAGGUGGCUGUUACAGAAGGUUUUCCAGGGAAAAAGCCUGUGCUGGCCUUCCUGCUGCCAAAAUCUGCCUGGUCCUGUAUCACACAUCCCCCUAAGCAGUACAUGUGCUGUAACAAGCUGCCUGUCCCUUCCAGAGACCAUCCCAGACUCGCUCCUGGCAGCAGCUGCAAAAGAAGGGAUUUUAAAGGGCAAAUCUGAGGGCAGUGAGAAAAGGCCAUUGGUCACAUCCUCAGAUGCAUUUGAGGACUACAGUGGCAAUGGGCUGCUGCUUUGUGUAAUUGUUCUGGAGUUCCUAUGCCAUGGGUCAUUUUGGAGCACAGCCAGGGCAUGUUAAGCACAGCAUAAUGCUGACUUCUACACUGACCACACCAGUCACAAUUUAAGUAUAAGCUUUUCUGUAUGCUGCCCAUAGUGGUUUGAUGUACAUGCUAUUGCUUAAGUUGUGGCAGAAAUGCUGUUCUGGUUCACCCUCAGUUUUCUCCUCCUCCAAGGGAACUACACAACUUCCUGAAAGCUGGAGCCUGCAAAAGGCAAUGUGUAAUCCAGGACGGUUUUGCAACGCUGGCUCUAGCUGCGAAUUGCUAGUAAAAAUGUCAUUUGCCAUUCAUGGGCUAUUUCCUAUAUGUGCUGGAAUUUCAAGCCCAGUUUUCAUACUGAAGUUUAGUACUGUACUUUCUGGUUCAACUGCUUUCUAUCAGCAGAUACACUCCUAGAACAGAAACAAAAGUGCCGGGAACCAACAUCAUUCUCUGAGGUACAAUAAGGCUCACCUAAUUGCUUCCUGACUUGCUGAUCCAUCAUCCUGACCCCCUCUUUGAUGUUAUUUUUUUUUUUUUUUCCCUAGACCAUUAGUAACAAGUGAGAAAUGCUGUCUCAGGGUGUUAUAUAUGCGAUUAUUUCUCUAUCCCAAACACAGUGACCAUAUGUGAUGGGAUUAUCUCUUAUUUAAAAUAAAAAAGACU